UGAGGAAUAUUGGGCAAUGCCCGCAAGGGUGACCCAGCAACGCCGCGUGGAGGAUGAAUGUCGUAAGAUUGUAAACUCCUGUUAGAGGGGAAGAAUAGUACCGGUUGGACCGGUAUAUGACUGUACCCUCAGAGAAAGCCCCGGCUAACUACGUGCCAGCAGCCGCGGUAAUACGUAGGGGGCAAGCGUUGUCCGGAUUUACUGGGUGUAAAGGGCGCGCAGGCGGGAUAAAAAGUCAGUGGUGAAAUCCUACAGCUUAACUGUAGAAUUGCCUUUGAUACUUUUAUUCUUGAGUUCGGGAGAGAGAGACGGAAUUCCAGGUGUAGUGGUGAAAUACGUAGAUAUCUGGAAGAACACCAGUUGCGAAGGCGGUCUCUUGGUCCGACACUGACGCUGAGGCGCGAAAGCGUGGGGAGCAAACA
Molecule: ribosomal RNA, 422 nt
Filed under: uncultured bacterium
Lineage: Bacteria
Description: bacterial SSU rRNA
Rfam family: Bacterial small subunit ribosomal RNA
Source: RNAcentral